This 253-nucleotide ribosomal RNA is filed under the name uncultured bacterium. RNAcentral's name for it is "partial 16S ribosomal RNA". It matches the Rfam family "Bacterial small subunit ribosomal RNA", at positions 524 to 776 of the family's 1533-position model. The record is from RNAcentral.
UACAGAGGGUGCGAGCGUUAAUCGGAAUUACUGGGCGUAAAGGGCUCGUAGGCGGCCAACUAAGUCCGACGUGAAAUCCCAAGGCUUAACCUUGGAACUGCGUCGGAUACUGGAUGGCUUGAAUUCGGGAGAGGGAUGCAGAAUUCCAGGUGUAGCGGUGAAAUGCGUAGAUAUCUGGAGGAAUACCGGUGGCGAAGGCGGCAUCCUGGACCGACAUUGACGCUGAGGAGCGAAAGCUAGGGGAGCAAACGGG